GACGGAGGGUGCAAGCGUUGUUCGGAAUCACUGGGCGUAAAGCGCGUGUAGGCGGUUCGAUAAGUCGGACGUGAAAGCCCGGGGCUUAACCCCGGAAGGGCAUCCGAAACUGUCGAGCUUGAGUACGGGAGAGGGAAGCGGAAUUCCUGGUGUAGAGGUGAAAUUCGUAGAUAUCAGGAGGAACACCGGUGGCGAAGGCGGCUUCCUGGACCGAUACUGACGCUGAGACCCGAAACCGCGUGGAGCUUACCGCAUCAGAUGGCCCCGUAGCCC
This 273-nucleotide ribosomal RNA is filed under the name uncultured bacterium. RNAcentral describes it as "partial 16S ribosomal RNA". It matches the Rfam family "Bacterial small subunit ribosomal RNA", at positions 524 to 796 of the family's 1533-position model. The record is from RNAcentral.